This 253-nucleotide ribosomal RNA is filed under the name uncultured bacterium. RNAcentral describes it as "partial 16S ribosomal RNA". It matches the Rfam family "Bacterial small subunit ribosomal RNA", at positions 524 to 776 of the family's 1533-position model. The record is from RNAcentral.
UACGUAGGGUGCGAGCGUUAAUCGGAAUUACUGGGCGUAAAGCGUGCGCAGGCGGUUUGCUAAGUCAGAUGUGAAAGCCCCGGGCUCAACCUGGGAAUUGCAUUUGAGACUGCGUAGCUAGGGUGCGGAAGAGGGAAGCGGAAUUUCCGGUGUAGCGGUGAAAUGCGUAGAUAUCGGAAGGAACACCAGUGGCGAAAGCGGCUUCCUGGUCCAGCACCGACGUUCAGGCACGAAAGCGUGGGGAGCAAACAGG